Cephus cinctus (wheat stem sawfly) is the source of this 1254-nucleotide long non-coding RNA. RefSeq lists it as uncharacterized. The record is from RefSeq and is a predicted model, not a curated record. The transcript has 4 exons. NCBI's taxonomy places the organism in Eukaryota, Metazoa, Arthropoda, Insecta, Hymenoptera, Cephidae.
UUCGAACAAGACAGCUGGAUUGGAUUCUCGGGGAAUACCGCGUUUAGUAAAUCCUCCACUGAUGACACCUCCACUUAUAUACCCGUGAAAAUUUCUUAAAAGCGUGAAUUCAAAAUAUACAAAAGAAAAAAAAAUAUGGCUCAUGAAAACACAUCACAGGGUACAAUAAGAAAACAAAGAUGAAGCAUGUAAAAAGAGAAAUUACCUUUAUUGUUACCCGAGGAUGACGUCACUCCGUAAUUAUUACAAGAACUGACAGAUCCAAAUGUAACGUCCAGAGAUAUGCCAUUCCGAGUCCCGAAAUACGUGAACCGGAUACAGAUGAUGUUUAAGUAUCUAGUUUAGUUUCCUUUUUUGUAUUUUUUUUUCUCCUUAACAACCUACAGCAACAUCAUUAAACUGGUACGCGAUGCUCAAUUACGUCACUGCAAAACACUGGGUCUGUCGCCUUCAACACACACGUGAAUACUUGGAUAGCCGAACACACGUGUUACUUAGCGCAGUCGUCUGGCUUUCGAAACUGUGUUUCUUGGAAACAAUACACGCAAAAGUAAUUCUCAGAAUAUCCAAGUUUCAGGGUGAAUCCCAGUACGUGAUGUUGAUCAGCUGGUGGAUCUAAGGUAGAAGUAGGGGAAUAUGAUUAUCCUGAUCCUUGGAGUAAAUGUAUGCAAGGUUAUCCACGGGAAAUUGAUCGCCUGAAGUUAACCUCUCUGUUUGAUUUCAACGGCAAAACCACCUUCAGGUUGUACGUUUGUCGUGAAUAACUUUAUAUACUUAUACACGUAUUCUACAGAUUGCCAAGGAAUAUUGGCUUUUACACUCGCGAAUGACACCAUUGCGCGAGCAACCGUAAAUCGCGAUGUUUCUUAGAUACUGCAAAGAAUCACUUUCCGUUAGAAAAUGAAGAAUUUUCAAGUUAUAUUUUACAAUCCAGAUUGAACUUACAUAUCCGAUUUAUAAGUAUGCCUCAAUUCUAUUGUUCCAAGUGAGGAUGAUGGCCUUCGUUUUCUUCCGAAUCCAUUGUUGUCAACACUGUAUGUUAUACAGUAACCAUGCUUCUCACCAGUACUUUUUGAGCAUGUUCUUUUUUUUACUACGCGACGGUACGGUUGUGCGUAAACGAAAAAAUGUCUUCGAUAAUCCCAGAUGGCCACUGAAUGUUGUGCACGCACCUUAUUAAAUAGUACAUCCAUUGGUCCUGUCUGGCAGAAUCCAGUUCAGUGCUGAUCGAUACCAAGAAAAAUGGUCGGCAAU